CAAAAACAUGGCUUUUUGAUUAUAAUUUAAGGUCUAGCCUGCCCAAUGAUUAAUUUAAAUGGCCGCGGUAUACUGACCGUGCAAAGGUAGCAUAAUCACUAGUUUUUUAAUUGAAAGCUUGAAUGAAAGGUUGGAUGAGGAAACUACUGUUUCGGACUAAAUUUUUUAGAAUUUUAUUAUUUUGUGAAAAGGCUAAAAUUUCUAUAAAAGACGAGAAGACCCUAUAGAGUUUUAUAGUUUGGAUAGAAAGGGUAAUUAGGAUAUAUUUCUUUAUUUAUUUAAAUUAUUUGAUUGGGGUGAUUGAAACAAUUUAAUAAACUUUUUUUAAUUUAAACAUUUAUUAAUGAAUAUUUGAUCCUUUUAAAAGAUUAUAAGAGUAAAUUACCUUAGGGAUAACAGCGUUAUUUUUCUUGAGAGU
Molecule: ribosomal RNA, 418 nt
Filed under: Euwallacea validus
Lineage: Eukaryota; Metazoa; Arthropoda; Insecta; Coleoptera; Curculionidae
Description: partial 16S ribosomal RNA
Rfam family: Archaeal large subunit ribosomal RNA (bases 1-197)
Source: RNAcentral